RNAcentral lists this ribosomal RNA (436 nucleotides) under uncultured bacterium. RNAcentral's name for it is "bacterial SSU rRNA". It matches the Rfam family "Bacterial small subunit ribosomal RNA", at positions 29 to 512 of the family's 1533-position model. The record is from RNAcentral.
AACGAACGCUGGCGGCAGGCUUAACACAUGCAAGUCGAACGCACCUUCGGGUGAGUGGCAGACGGGUGAGUAACGCGUGGGAAUCUACCCAUCCCUACGGAAUAACGCAUGGAAACGUGUGCUAAUACCGUAUACGCCCUUCGGGGGAAAGAUUUAUCGGGGAUGGAUGAGCCCGCGUUGGAUUAGCUAGUUGGUGGGGUAAAGGCCUACCAAGGCGACGAUCCAUAGCUGGUCUGAGAGGAUGAUCAGCCACACUGGGACUGAGACACGGCCCAGACUCCUACGGGAGGCAGCAGUGGGGAAUAUUGGACAAUGGGCGCAAGCCUGAUCCAGCCAUGCCGCGUGAGUGAUGAAGGCCCUAGGGUUGUAAAGCUCUUUCACCGGUGAAGAUAAUGACGGUAGCCGGAGAAGAAGCCCCCGGUAACUUCGUGCCAGC